Long non-coding RNA from Schistocerca piceifrons (Central American locust), 1898 nucleotides. RefSeq lists it as uncharacterized. The transcript is spliced from 2 exons. NCBI's taxonomy places the organism in Eukaryota, Metazoa, Arthropoda, Insecta, Orthoptera, Acrididae. The record is from RefSeq and is a predicted model, not a curated record.
CACAGCAUGCGCAGAGUUGAUACGUAAUACGUAUCUCGUAGGUUAUGAUGAGGAACUGUGACGACGAAUUUGAAGUUUUGUUUCGAAAUUCUCUUGCUAUGGUUAGAAUGGUUUAAUAACUUUGAGUAUACAUCUAGAAAAUGUGUAAUGUACUGAUAACUCGCUUCAUGGAUACUCCAAAGGAAAGGACUACAGGCUGGAAGAGAACACACUGUGCUCUGGCUUGUAAAUGAAGACUACGGCUAAUUUGAAGCUGCAGAUGGAAGACUACGGAAACAUAUGCUUUAUUUCUCGCAGCUGCUCUGCAUUAAUAGAAACACUGGUUAAUCGAGUUUUAGUUAUGGACAAUUUCAGUGUCGAGAUUGUCCAUGGUGCAGACCGUGAUAAAAUAAGUGACUGUGGGAAUGAGGGCUUUGCAGUGGCACACGAUAUUGUCUUAGUCUUACGUGGAGAAUGUUCUCAAAUCCUUACUCACCCUUCUUGAUAUAUUUUGUGCAAACAGACUUCAAAUGUUUCUCAAAAACAUUUAUUGAAUCAGGCCAUCAGUAGCUGCAGUAAUAUUAAAGUUUGAAAUCCUUCAGUGAUACACAACUGUCUCUGUUUGGGAGUAAUAGUUACAGAGGUCUGGAAACCAAAAUUAUGCAUCAUGAUUUAGUAAAUACAUGACAAAUUAAUUGCUACAUGUAAAACUAGAGAGCAACUCUUGGAAAAAUGAAGUAACUGAAAAUGGGCCUUUUAAUGUGGAAUGAUGCAUUGGAUUUAAAUUUACAUCAGGUGUUCUGAGAUCGGAAACAGAAUAACUAGAAUACUGGGCAUAGCUUGUUUUUAUACAAGAAAAUUCAGCAUUAGUGAAGUAUGACAGUGGCCAGACAGCAAUUUCUGAAGUAUCCGAGGAGUUUUCUGUAAAGUGUGAGAGAAUGGAGGGCCAUCACCAAGAAAUUGUUGCAGAGUUACACCUGACACAAAACAAUAGUGAGAAUCUAAUGCAUGACGUCACUUCAGUGGAAAUAGGGAUGACUUGAGGAAAAUUUGAAGUAGAAUACACAAGUAGUUAAAUGAUUACAUACUGUCUUGACCCCACAACUUAAAGAGAACUGCAGGUUUUUAACUGUCUAAUUCAGAUCUAGUGGGUAGGAAGCAGAUUAUGGUGGUAAAUUAAUGUUAAGCAACUAUAAAGUUACAUGGCUAGGAGAUACUCAAGAUUAAAUUCAGCUGCCUGAUCAGAAAGGGGUGGUCUUUUUAAACUUCACACACAGUCAACUCUCGUUUUUGCAAAGUGAGAGAGUUGUCAUAAUUAUAUCUGUUGUGGGUGACUAUAAUGGGAGUAUUUUUAUAGUGUACCUUCAUAUACGUGUUCUAUGAUGUUCGAAGAAGGGAAAGGAUGAAAUCCAAAGUGGGCACAUAACCUACCCCUUGUGUGUGUGGGCCCUACACACUUAAUGUCCCCAUCCAGUGUAUGGGCAACCAUCAAUAUGCCCUCACUCUGAAAUAAGAGAUGUUUGGAAUUUAAUCUAGACUGUUGACAAAAAUUCUACUGAUCAUUAGCUUCAUGUCUCCACCUCUCCUUCCCCUUCCAGCCUAAAACUAGAAGUGAAUAUUUCUUCCACUGCCACGAUUCAAACCACUGCCUCAGCAUCCAGUGCAGUCACACAAGUGUCUGUUGGUGACCUUUGCAACAGAGAUGGGCUUUGGAUAAUGUUAACAUUUGUGAUAUGGUUUUAAAAAAAGCUAGACCUUAUGAGGUUGUAAAUGCAGCUUCAGUACAGAAGAUAAAAUUUGUGCCAUAAAUUUGCAAGUAAGUGUUUUCUGGUUAGAGAAAAAGUUUGAGAUUUAAGUUUGUAAUUUGGUAAUUUUGCAGUUUUGCUCCAAAAAUAAUAAACAAAAGAAAAUGAAUGUAA